UACGGAAGGCAACAGUGGGGAAUAUUGCACAAUGGGCGAAAGCCUGAUGCAGCUAUGCCGCGUGUAUGAAGAAGGCCUUAGGGUUGUAAAGUACUUUCAUCGGGGAGGAAAAAACAAAACUAAUAAUUUUAUUUCUUGACGUUACCCGAAAAAGAAGCACCGGCUAACUCCGUGCCAGCAGCCGCGGUAAUACGGAGGGUGCUAGCGUUAAUCAGAAUUACUGGGCGUAAAGAGCACGUAGGUGGUUUUUUUAAAGUCAGAUGUGAAAUCCCUGGGCUUAACCUAGGAACUGCAUUUUGAAACUGAAAUACUAGAGUAUCGUAGAGGGAGGUAGAAUUCUAGGUGUAGCGGUGAAAUGCGUAGAUAUCUGGAGGAAUACCUGUGGCGAAAGCGGCCUCCUAAACGAAUACUGACACUGAGGUGCGAAAGCGUGGGGAGCAAACAGGGAUUAGAUACC
Molecule: ribosomal RNA, 457 nt
Filed under: uncultured bacterium
Lineage: Bacteria
Description: bacterial SSU rRNA
Rfam family: Bacterial small subunit ribosomal RNA
Source: RNAcentral